GGAAGAUGUUAGCACCAGACAAUUGUUGCAGUGUGAAAAGACCCAGAGGCAAGUGAUGGAAGGGACAAUUCUCUGGAGAGUACUCUUACUGGAAGGCAAUGUGUCUAGCGCCACCCUUUAAGUAAAUGAAGGGCACCAAAAGUGGUUGGACCAACAACCCUUUGAAUUUGGCCUAUCACCUCAGGAUCCAAACAGACCUGUUGUCCUCCAAACAAAGAAUUACGCACCUGUCUUCAAUCAGCCUCAUCACCACCGGUGUAUAUAAGCCAGCCUGUUCCCGGAAAUCCUCGCCUAAGUAUUGCAGCCUCUCCUAGCGGUACCACGGCCCACCUUACUCAAGUAAGCCACUUAACUCCUCGUUCCCAGUGCUCCCCUAUGUUCCUGACCCACGUCAUUCCUGCCACCAAGCCAGCCGUCUGUUCUGUCCACUGCCUGCCACCUGUCCACGCCGCCGCCUGCCAAAACAUCCAGGACCACCUCCAUAGCCUUUCCUCAAUAAACUGUUCAUCAUUUUACA
Molecule: long non-coding RNA, 517 nt
Organism: Phycodurus eques (leafy seadragon)
Lineage: Eukaryota; Metazoa; Chordata; Actinopteri; Syngnathiformes; Syngnathidae
Exons: 4
Source: RefSeq, a predicted model, not a curated record